Molecule: non-coding RNA, 31 nt
Filed under: Mus musculus (house mouse)
Lineage: Eukaryota; Metazoa; Chordata; Mammalia; Rodentia; Muridae
Source: RNAcentral
UACAUGUCCACUAAAGUUAUUGCCAAGACAU